Molecule: non-coding RNA, 263 nt
Filed under: Nitrospira sp. ND1
Lineage: Bacteria; Pseudomonadati; Nitrospirota; Nitrospiria; Nitrospirales; Nitrospiraceae
Source: RNAcentral
UUGGAGAGCGGAGUGUCAGGAAGACGCCGUCAGCGUCGGGGAAGAUGGUGCAAAACCAUCACGGUGCCGCCACUGUAAGCGGGGAGUGACUCUGCAUUGAGCCACUGGCGAGUGGCGUGGUUCGUGAAUCGUAUCUCGUGAAGCGCAGGAGGUUCCCUCCGACCGUUUCACGAACGUCGUUUUACGUUUCACGCUCAGCUGGGAAGGCGCAGAGAAACGAUGAUCCGCAAGUCAGGAGACCCAACUGACGGGUUUGUAACUGA